UACACUUGUUUAUGUUUUUGUUUAACUUGUGGACAAAGACUUAUAGACAGGUGCAAAAACUAAAUCAUCCUUUCCAACCCAGAACUCAUGGUUUAGUAUGAGUUUUGAUACAUAUAAGAAGGCAUAUU
This 128-nucleotide small nucleolar RNA is filed under the name Theropithecus gelada (gelada). Its description in RNAcentral is "Small nucleolar RNA SNORA40 (ENSTGEG00000008781.1)". It matches the Rfam family "Small nucleolar RNA SNORA40". From Rfam's summary of the family: The snoRNA ACA 40 belongs to the H/ACA family of snoRNAs and guides the pseudouridylation of 28S rRNA subunit at position U4565. Lineage: Eukaryota; Metazoa; Chordata; Mammalia; Primates; Cercopithecidae. The record is from Rfam by way of RNAcentral.